GGAGGGGUGCCAGAGUGGUUGAAUGGAACAGUCUUGAAAACUGUCGGGUCGCAAGGCCUCCAGGGUUCGAAUCCCUGCCCCUCCGCCA
This 88-nucleotide transfer RNA is filed under the name Candidatus Omnitrophica bacterium CG12_big_fil_rev_8_21_14_0_65_50_5. RNAcentral's name for it is "tRNA-Ser". It matches the Rfam family "tRNA". Rfam says of the family: Transfer RNA (tRNA) molecules are approximately 80 nucleotides in length. The record is from RNAcentral. Lineage: Bacteria; Pseudomonadati; Candidatus Omnitrophota.